RNAcentral lists this ribosomal RNA (465 nucleotides) under uncultured bacterium. RNAcentral describes it as "partial 16S ribosomal RNA". It matches the Rfam family "Bacterial small subunit ribosomal RNA", at positions 28 to 507 of the family's 1533-position model. The record is from RNAcentral.
GACGAACGCUGGCGGCGUGCUUAACACAUGCAAGUCGAACGGAAAGGCCCUGCUUGCAGGGUACACGAGUGGCGAACGGGUGAGUAACACGUGGGUGAUCUGCCCUGCACUUCGGGAUAAGCCUGGGAAACUGGGUCUAAUACCGGGUAGGAGCCAUUUUUAGUGAGCUGGUUGGAACGUUUUUUCGGUGUAGGAUGAGCUCGCGGCCUAUCGGCUUGUUGGUGGGGUAAUGGCCUACCAAGGCGGCGACGGGUAACCGGCCUGAGAGGGUGGACGGCCACCCUGGGACUGAGGUACGGCCCAGACUCCUACGGGAGGCAGCAGUGGGGAAUAUUGCACGAUGGGCGCAAGCCUGAUGCAGCGACGCCGCGUGGGGGAUGACGGCCUUCGGGUUGUAAACUCCUUUCGCUAGGGACGAAGCUUUUUGUGACGGUACCUAGAUAAGAAGCACCGGCUAACUACGUG